AGUGAGCGCUGGCGGUAGGCCUAACACAUGCAAGUCGAACGGCAGCACAGUAAGAGCUUGCUCUUACGGGUGGCGAGUGGCGGACGGGUGAGGAAUACAUCGGAAUCUACUUUUUCGUGGGGGAUAACGUAGGGAAACUUACGCUAAUACCGCAUACGACCUACGGGUGAAAGCAGGGGAUCUUCGGACCUUGCGCGAUUGAAUGAGCCGAUGUCGGAUUAGCUAGUUGGCGGGGUAAAGGCCCACCAAGGCGACGAUCCGUAGCUGGUCUGAGAGGAUGAUCAGCCACACUGGAACUGAGAAACGGUCCAGACUCCUACGGGAGGCAGCAGUGGGGAAUAUUGGACAAUGGGCGAAAGCCUGAUCCAGCCAUACCGCGUGGGUGAAGAAGGCCUUCGGGUUGUAAAGCCCUUUUGUUGGGAAAGAAAAGCAGCAGGUUAAUACCCCGCUGUUCUGACGGUACCCAAAGAAUAAGCACCGGCUAACUUCGU
Molecule: ribosomal RNA, 491 nt
Filed under: uncultured bacterium
Lineage: Bacteria
Description: partial 16S ribosomal RNA
Rfam family: Bacterial small subunit ribosomal RNA
Source: RNAcentral